RNAcentral lists this small nuclear RNA (115 nucleotides) under Erpetoichthys calabaricus (reedfish). RNAcentral describes it as "U5 spliceosomal RNA (ENSECRG00000003527.1)". It matches the Rfam family "U5 spliceosomal RNA". Rfam says of the family: U5 RNA is a component of both types of known spliceosome. The precise function of this molecule is unknown, though it is known that the 5' loop is required for splice site selection and p220 binding, and that both the 3' stem-loop and the Sm site are important for Sm protein binding and cap methylation. Lineage: Eukaryota; Metazoa; Chordata; Cladistia; Polypteriformes; Polypteridae. The record is from RNAcentral.
AUGCUCUGGUUCUCAUCAUCUCAAAUAAAUCUUUUGCCUUUUACUAAAGAUUUCCAUGGAGAGGACCGUUAAAGAGUCUCAAAGAAUUUUUGCACAGCCUGUUUUGAACAGGCAG